RNAcentral lists this ribosomal RNA (609 nucleotides) under Zyras perdecoratus. Its description in RNAcentral is "partial 16S ribosomal RNA". The stretch from base 359 to 518 matches the Rfam family "Bacterial large subunit ribosomal RNA", at positions 2473 to 2632 of the family's 2925-position model. Lineage: Eukaryota; Metazoa; Arthropoda; Insecta; Coleoptera; Staphylinidae. The record is from RNAcentral.
AUGAAUUUAUAUUUAAUGGCCGCAGUAUUUUGACUGUGCAAAGGUAGCAUAAUCAUUAGUUUCUUAAUUAGAGGCUGGAAUGAAUGGUUGGACGAGAAAAUAACUGUCUUUUUAUAAUUUUAUUUGAAUUUUAUUUUUAAGUUAAAAAGCUUAAAUAAUUUUAAAAGACGAGAAGACCCUAUAGAGUUUUAUUAAUUUAGGUUUAAUAGUUUUUUUUGUAUAGUUUUAAAUUAUUAUAGUUUUAUUAAUUUAAUUGGGGUGAUUAAAAAAUUUUAUAAACUUUUUUUAUAUGUUUACAUUUAUUUAUGAAUAUUUGAUCCAUAAUUUUUAUUAUGAUAUAAGAUUAAAUUACCUUAGGGAUAACAGCAUAAUUUUUUUGUAGAGUUCAAAUCGAUAAAGAAGUUUGUGACCUCGAUGUUGGAUUAAAAUUUAUUUUUGGUUGUAGAAGCUAAAAAAUUAGGUCUGUUCGACCUUUAAAAUUUUACAUGAUCUGAGUUUAAACCGGUGUAAGCCAGGUUGGUUUCUAUCUUUAUAUAAUUUAUAUAUAUUUUAGUACGAAAGGACCAAAUAUAGUAAAAAUUUUAUUAAUUAUUGAAUUUUAUUAAUAAU